ACUUUGAAUCUGAUCACAUCUUAUCACCAUUGUUGUCACCAACUGAGUCCAAGCUAUCAUGAGCUCUUGCCUGGACUGCCACUGUCACCUCUAGCUGGUAUUCAGCUUCCCUUCCUGCCCCCUGCCAUCUGCUGCCCAUACAGCAAACAGAAUGAACUUUAAAGUUCUUGCCAUUGUCCUCAGGGCCCUCCUCCGUGGUUUGGCCUCUGCUUCCUAUCCAGUCCGUUUCCUACCCCACUUCCCUCACUUACUACUUCCCAGCCCAUCAUGUCUUCUUGCUGGUCCUCAAAUGAAGUUUGGUUUUAUAUAUCGUAAAUACAGAAUUUUAUAAUCACUGAGUGAAUGAAAGUCACUUAUAUUCUAAUUUGACCAUAGUGGCUCAUUAUGGCAUAAUUUUAAUGAAAAUCCACAGGUUUUUUUUUUUACUUUUGGAUUAGUCUGAAUGAGAUAAAAAUGGCAACAAGAAUACAGCUUUCAGAAUUAUGGCGGGUAAAAAAGUAAAAUUGCUUGCUUUCCGGUAACUAUUUAUAUAUCAGUAUUAUAGCCAAUACUUUAAGUUUUUUCAUUGUUGAGAAGAGAGUAAUACCAAAAUUUUGUUUAAUAAUAUCAUUAAAUAGGAAUGCCAGUGGGUCAUAUAAAUCAGCACUUUUAAAUACAAUACCUCGAGAUAAAAGUAUUCCAUUGUUAUACGUAUUAUAAGAAAAGUAGUAUCAGUACUACACUUAGACUCAGGCAAGAGGUAGUCUGCGCUUUGGAAAACCUUGUUCUGGUCUUCUUCAAGCUACACCCAUUUCUAUGAGACAAGAGAGGAGCCCAUGCAGAACCCGCAGACUUCUUUCCCUCAGGACCCCAGACUUCCCAAUGUCAGGGCCCAGGCAGCCUCCUCCCUGGGUCCAUCUUCUGGAGGGUGAGCCAUACUGUCUCCAUGCACUCCUCUAAGCUCAAAGGGUGCUGUUAGCGGCGGGUGUGGAUAGAACUUUGAUGUAUGGUCUGGGCUGUCCACACAUGCUCACGCAGUCCCUCACGAUCAGGGUUGGAAAGAGAAGAGAAGCCCCAUGCCAUUACAAGCUGGCAGAACAACGAGGAGCCUGGCUACUAGGUCUUUAUGAAGGGAAGAAGAUAGAAAGUAUUUAGCAGUUUGUUACCUUAAUGUAUACCUGAUAAAUAUAGAAACACAUAUGGUAUGAGGCCCCCAUUUGUACUGUUGCCUGGAGGCCUGCAAAGUGGAUGGCCUGAGAGAUACAGGCCCACUGCAAAAUAAAUAAAACCUUUGGCAUAAGUUGGUCUUUAGUUUCAACCUGAGUAAAUCAAAACUCUGAAAUUAAAAGCCUGAGGCUUUCUACCCACAAACUCAAAACUGAGCCCAACAUACAAAAAUCCAAUCCUGUGUUAAAAAA
RNAcentral lists this long non-coding RNA (1397 nucleotides) under Pan troglodytes (chimpanzee). RNAcentral's name for it is "long non-coding RNA NONPTRT013234". Lineage: Eukaryota; Metazoa; Chordata; Mammalia; Primates; Hominidae. The record is from RNAcentral.